GCCAUGGUGUAAUGUAUAUGUUGUCUGCCUAGCAACCAGGAGGUCAUGGGUUCGAUCCCCACUGUGGUA
RNAcentral lists this transfer RNA (69 nucleotides) under Dreissena polymorpha. Its description in RNAcentral is "tRNA-Ser". Lineage: Eukaryota; Metazoa; Mollusca; Bivalvia; Myida; Dreissenidae. The record is from RNAcentral.